Humulus lupulus (European hop) is the source of this 462-nucleotide long non-coding RNA. RefSeq lists it as uncharacterized. The record is from RefSeq and is a predicted model, not a curated record. The transcript has 3 exons. Lineage: Eukaryota; Viridiplantae; Streptophyta; Magnoliopsida; Rosales; Cannabaceae.
UUGUCAUUGCUAAAAUCUUGCUGCAAAAUCUUGUAUGUUUGUUUUCUCAAGGUAAGGGUCCCAAUUGGUAGGCUCGUUUUGGAAUUGCCUACUGGAAUGUUGGAUGAUGACGAGGGUGAUAUUGUUGGGACUGCAGUUCGUGAUGAGUUUUUUUUUCUGUGAUGAGUUUUCUUUUUCUACAAAAUAACUUAUAUUUCAAUAAAUUUGAUUGAGUAUUACUGAUUUUUUUCCGAUUUUCUUUCUUGCUAGGUACUUGGGGCAUUGAAUUAGCUGCGCAGUUGUAGCUUCUGUACUAUUGGGGGCUAUUGUUUCUCAUCAUUUUUCAGUUUCAAACCCAUUAGCUGCAAAAAGAGAUGCCUUACAGAGCACUGCUAUUUUGGGCUUUGGAUGUGAAACCAACAGAAAUUCUCUUGAAGCCAUGGUGAAGAGCACAGGAAAAGAAUCAUUACAAUGGGAUAAAUG